AGAUACUUCAUUGGGGAGUAGCCGCUGUUCUCAGAGAACAGGUGAUGGUCAACAUAUUUGCUUUAAAACAAGCAUGGUCAUCAUAGCAAAGAACCAAAUGAGCUUUCUCUAAGCUUUCUUUUGUUGGCAAGACCUUUGAU
Acinetobacter equi is the source of this 140-nucleotide non-coding RNA. Lineage: Bacteria; Pseudomonadati; Pseudomonadota; Gammaproteobacteria; Moraxellales; Moraxellaceae. The record is from Rfam.